Transfer RNA from Scleropages formosus (Asian bonytongue), 83 nucleotides. It matches the Rfam family "tRNA". From Rfam's summary of the family: Transfer RNA (tRNA) molecules are approximately 80 nucleotides in length. Their secondary structure includes four short double-helical elements and three loops (D, anti-codon, and T loops). The record is from Rfam. Lineage: Eukaryota; Metazoa; Chordata; Actinopteri; Osteoglossiformes; Osteoglossidae.
ACCAGGGUGGCCGAGUGGUUAAGGCGUUGGACUUAAGAUCCAAUGGACAGAUGUCUGCGUGGGUUCAAACCCCACCCCUGGUA